RNAcentral lists this ribosomal RNA (451 nucleotides) under uncultured organism. RNAcentral's name for it is "partial 16S ribosomal RNA". It matches the Rfam family "Bacterial small subunit ribosomal RNA", at positions 333 to 800 of the family's 1533-position model. The record is from RNAcentral.
ACACUCCUGCGGGAGGCAGCAGUGGGGAAUAUUGGACAAUGGGCGCAAGCCUGAUCCAGCCAUGCCGCGUGAGUGAUGAAGGCCCUAGGGUUGUAAAGCUCUUUCACCGGUGAAGAUAAUGACGGUAACUGGAGAAGAAGCCCCGACUAACUUCGUGCCAGCAGCCGCGGUAAUACGAAGGGGGCCAGCGUUGUUCGGAGUUACUGGGCGUAAAGCGCACGUAGGCGGACUAUUAAGUCAGGGGUGAAAUCCCGGGGCUCAACCCCGGAACUGCCUUUGAUACUGGUAGUCUUGAGUUCGAGAGAGGUGAGUGGAAUUCCGAGUGUAGAGGUGAAAUUCGUAGAUAUUCGGAGGAACACCAGUGGCGAAGGCGGCUCACUGGCUCGAUACUGACGCUGAGGUGCGAAAGCGUGGGGAGCAAACAGGAUUAGAAACCCUUGUAGUCCCAUGA